RNAcentral lists this ribosomal RNA (785 nucleotides) under uncultured bacterium. RNAcentral's name for it is "bacterial SSU rRNA". It matches the Rfam family "Bacterial small subunit ribosomal RNA", at positions 57 to 876 of the family's 1533-position model. The record is from RNAcentral.
GCAGUCGAACGAGAAGCCGGGGCUUGCCCCGGUGGAGAGUGGCGAACGGCUGAGUAACACGUAGGAACCUACCCUUAAGCCUGGGAUAACGGACUGAAAAGACCGCUAAUACCGGAUAUAUCCUUCGGGAGGAAAGCUCCGGCGCUUAAGGAGGGGCCUGCGGCGUAUUAUCUUGUUGGUGAGGUAAUGGCUCACCAAGGCAAUGAUGCGUAGCUGGUCUGAGAGGACGAUCAGCCAGACUGGAACUGACACACGGUCCAGACUCCUACGGGAGGCAGCAGUUCAGAAUCUUGCACAAUGGGCGAAAGCCUGAUGUAACCAUGCCGCGUGUGCGAAAAAGGCCCUCGGGUCGUAAAGCACUGUCAGGAGGGAAGAAAUUGACGGUACCUCCAGAGGAAGCCACGGCUAAUUACGUGCCAGCAGCCGCGGUAAUACGUAAGUGGCGAGCGUUAUCCGGAAUUACUGGGCGUAAAGCGUUCGUAGGUGGCGCAGCAAGUUGGAUUUGAAAUAUCGGGGCUCAACCCCGGACCCGGAUCCAAAACUGCAGUGCUAGAGCAGAUCAGAGGGCAGUGGAAUUCCCGGUGUAGCGGUAAUAUGCGUGAGAUCGGGAGGAACACCAGUGGCGAAGGCGGCUGCCUGGGGUCUUGCUGACGCUGAGGAACGAAAGCUAGGGGAGCGAACGGGAUUAGAUACCCCGGUAGUCCUAGCUGUAAACGAUGGGCACUAGGUGUCGGGAGCUUCGACCCUCUCGGUGCCGCCGCUAACGCAUUAAGUGCCCCGCCUGG